CACGGCGCACGGGUGCGUAACACGUGGGCAAUCUGCCCUUCGAUGGGGAAUAUCUUCGGGAAACCGAAGCGAAUUCCGCAUAACAUUCCUUGGAUUUCGGUUCGAGGACUCAAAGCCGCAAGGCGUCGAAGGAGGAGCCCGCGCCCGAUUAGCUAGUUGGUAGGGUAACGGCCUACCAAGGCAAUGAUCGGUAGCUGGUCUGAGAGGAUGGCCAGCCACACUGGAACUGAGACACGGUCCAGACUCCUACGGGAGGCAGCAGUGGGGAAUCUUGCACAAUGGGCGAAAGCCUGAUGCAGCGACGCCGCGUGGGGGAUGAAGCAUCUCGGUGUGUAAACCCCUUUCGACCCGGAAGAAUGCCUCGCAAGAGGACUGACGGUACGGGUAUAAGAAGCCCCGGCUAACUACGUGCCAGCAGCCGCGGUAAGACGUAGGGGGCCAGCGUUGUUCGGAAUUACUGGGUGUAAAGGGUUCGUAGGCGGUGCGGCAAGUUGGGAGUGAAAUCUCUGGGCUCAACCCAGAGGCUGCUUCCAAAACUGCUGUGCUGGAGUGUGGGAGAGGCGCGUGGAAUUGCAGGUGUAGCGGUGAAAUGCGUAGAUAUCUGCAGGAACACCCGUGGCGAAAGCGGCGCGCUGGACCACUAC
RNAcentral lists this ribosomal RNA (644 nucleotides) under uncultured bacterium. RNAcentral's name for it is "bacterial SSU rRNA". It matches the Rfam family "Bacterial small subunit ribosomal RNA", at positions 94 to 740 of the family's 1533-position model. The record is from RNAcentral.